AAGGUCAAGUAGAGUGCAUAAUGUACCACUCAAGUAUGGAUUUGUCAUUUUGAAUGACAACACAUCCCACAUCAUUAAGAAUGAUGAUCCUAUGACCUAUUCGAAAGCUGUCAUAAGUAAUGACUCUGACAAAUGGCUCAAUGCCAUGAAAUUCGACAUGGACUCCAUGUAUACCAACCAAGUUUAGAUUUUGGUUGAUGCACC
RNAcentral lists this long non-coding RNA (204 nucleotides) under Elaeis guineensis (African oil palm). RNAcentral's name for it is "long non-coding RNA (EGUI_LNC056657)". Lineage: Eukaryota; Viridiplantae; Streptophyta; Magnoliopsida; Arecales; Arecaceae. The record is from RNAcentral.